Molecule: long non-coding RNA, 10159 nt
Organism: Oncorhynchus keta (chum salmon)
Lineage: Eukaryota; Metazoa; Chordata; Actinopteri; Salmoniformes; Salmonidae
Exons: 3
Source: RefSeq, a predicted model, not a curated record
AUGUAUAUAGUGCAUUAAAUGUAUGUGAGGACAUAUGUAUAUAGUGCAUUAAAUGUAUGUGAGGACAUAUGUAUAUAGUGCAUUAAAUGUAAGUGAGUACAUAUGUAUAUAGUGCAUUAAAUGUAUGUGAGUAUACAUGUUUUAUAUGCGCCUGCUGGAGCCAGGCGGUCCAUAAUGAAGCUGUAAUUAUGCAGGGCAACACACACAGGUUGUGGGCCUCUGAGAGGUGCAGACUCAUUCCUGGGCAAAUGGGAGCCAGCUGGGUUUGAUCUGCCAUCCCACACACACACACACACACACACACACACACACACACACACAAUCUCCUGCGGAAGGCCUCAACCACCCCAGCCCCGUUUAUUUACUCUACUCUCUCUUCUCUUCUCUAUCCUGUCUCUUCCUCCCUCCUGCUUUUCAGUCUCUCACUCUUCUGUCCUCAACUCCUUCCCCUCGAUUUUACCACUCUUUCCCCUAUCUUUCAUCAUCCUUCCCUCACUCCCUCCCAUCGUGGUGAAGUAGGUAUACAUGGACUCCCCUAAGCAGUCAGCCGCUGCCUGCUAACAGUGACCACAGCAGCAGUUCUGAUCUACUGCACCUCUACUCACUAUUUAUCAUCCCCAUACAUUUAGUUCUCAAAUAAGAUACACAACUUCAAGCCACACACUUCAUGACCCCCUCUUCUCUUUCUUUCUCUCUCGCUACUCUUCCUCCCAUCUGGACCAUAAGACUCCUACUCUCAUCAGAAACACACAGGGAAGGGGAAACACAUUAGACUACAUUAUAGAGUGAGACAGAUCCUGUUCAAACAGCUUUUCAGAGUGUUUGUUUGUAGAGGAGCCAGAAGGUCCAGGAGAGAGUUCUGAGCAGACGCCGCGCCUCUACCGCAGGCGCCGCGCCUCUACCGCAGGCGCCGCGCCUCUACCGCAGGCGCCGAGUCUCUACCGCAGGCGCCGCGUCUCUACACCAGGCGCCGCGCUCUACCGCAGGCGCCGAGUCUCUACCGCAGGCGCCGCGUCUCUACACCAGGCGCCGCGCUCUACCGCAGGUGCUAUGUCUCUACUACAGACGCCAUGUUGUUUCUCUGUGGUUUAUAAAAACCCAAGGUGCCUUACUCGCUCAUAUUUUCUACUUUUUUAACAGCUCUCUGUUGGGAGAACUUUAAAAGCCAUCUUUAAAACUACUGUAAACGUCUGCUUUUACGGAAAAGAUUGGUUCCGUUGUCCGUAACCACAUUUUGCAGUAUAUUCUUUAACUGUGUUGUUGCAAAAUCAAAUGUAUUACCACACUCUCGUUGGGUGUUAACUUUGCUAAAAAAGGUUUCUGGGAAGCUGUGUCUGUCACUACUUCCGCCGAAGGCGUCACCGGUUUUUUAGUCGGCUCCUCUCCUUGUUCGGGCGGCGUUCGGCGUCACCGGCUUUCUAGCCAUCGCCGCUCCAUUUUUCAUGUAUCCAUUUGUUUUGUCUUGUUCCCUGCACACCUGGUUUUCAUUCCCCAAUCAAUCUACAUGUAUUUAUUCCUCUGUUCCCCAUCAUGUCAUUGUGUGAGAUUGUUUGUGUUAUGUGUGUAUUGUUGACCAGACCGGCUUGUUUUUUCCGUGUUAUUUUUCACGAAGAUGUUUAUUGUUAAACAUAAUUCUUGUGACUGUUUUGCACUUUUGCCUAAAUAAAGUGUGUGCCUGUUCACAAAUCUCUGCUCUCCUGCACCUGACUUCGCUACCAGUACGCACACAUCUGACAGUGUCCUUACAAACAGUACACAUGAACUACAACACAGCAGCCAUUUUCAAGGUGAGAAUGCCUGCACUGUUAUUUCCUCUUUCCUUUAUAUUUUAGUGAGCAAAAUCCAAUACUCUCAACUAAAAUCCAUAUUUGACUUUUGAGACAUCUCAAACAACAUGGUAGAAGUAAACAUGUUUACACAGAGAAACUAAUCAUCAUCAUUAUUAUUAAUAUCAAAGCCAGCAAAACAACAUGCUAGGAUAAAUAGGAAAAGUGUUUGUGUUCUCACUGCGAGUGUUGACCUGGAUGUGAGCAGGAUCAUAGAAGAGGGGAAAUGCUUCCUCUACACCCCGUCUCUCCCCCGCUCACACACUGCCCCAUAUACAGAGACACACACUCCCUGUGUCCCUCCUCCGCAUGUGGAAGACAUUUCAAAGGCAGCGGCCCCCAUGCUGCUUCCAUUAUAGUCAAUCAGAGCCUGAACCAGAUAUUAAAGCACUAGCCAGGGGAGCCGCCGUCAAUACACUGACUGUUCUCUGUGUGUGUGGUUCUGAAGUAUGUGUGUCUGAAAUUCAGUGGCAUCUAUUGUUCACUCUAUUGUUGUAUCAUUAUUUCUAUCUAUACUGAACAGAAAUAUGAACACAACAUGUAAAGUGUUGGUCCCAUAGUUCAAGAGCUGUAAUAAAAGAUCCCAGAAAUUUUCUGGAGGCACAAGAAUAUUAUUUUGCUAAAAUUUUGUGCACACAUUUGUUUAUAUCCCUGUUAGUGAGCCUUUCUCCUUUGCCAAGAUAAUCUGACAAUUGUGGCAUAUCAAAAAGCUGAUUAAACAGCAUGAUCAUUACACAGGUGCACCUUGUCCUGGAGGCAAUAAAAAUAUGCAGUUUUGUCACAACACAAUGCCACAGAUGUCUCAAGUUGUGAGGGAGCGUGCAAUUGGCAUGCUGAGUGCAGGAAUGUCCACCAGAGCUAUUGCCAGAUAAUUGAAUGCUAAUGUCUCUACCAUAAGCCGUAACCAACGUCAUUUUAGAGAAUUUGAUAGUAUGCCCAACCAGCAUCACAACCACAGACCACAUGUAACCAUGGUAGCCCAGGACCUCCACAUCCGGCUUCUUUACCUGAGAGACUGUCUGAGACCAGCCACCCGGACAGCUGAUGAAACUGAGGAGUAUUUCUGUCUGUAAUAAAGCCCUUUUGUGGGGAAAAACUACAUUCUCAAAAACCCCUGCCCAGUCAUGUGAAAUCCAUAGAUUAGGGCCUAAUGAUUCUAUUCCAAUUGACUGAUUUCCUUAUAUGAACUGUAAGUCAGUAAAAUCAUUGAAAUUGUUGCAUUUAUAUUUUUGUUCAGUAUAUCAGCAUUCUAUCAAUAAUUCUAUCGUUCUUUUUAUCUAUCCUGUACCAGUUCUUAUGGUUUCUCGUAGACAUGAGGGUUAAACACCAAAACAAAUGGGUUGUGCCUCCAAGCCCUUGUCUGCCCUUAGUAAGCCACCACCAUUGGACCAAAACAAAUCUGAACCCAAUAUCAAAUGUGACUAGAGCCAAUUCUAUGCUGGCACUCAUGCCAAACCCCCAAACCGUGAAGUGAUUUCCGAGAUCUGAGAAUGAUGAAUCUCUAAUUCAAAUCAGACCAAAGUAAUCAAGCAAUGCUGGAGCUAGCUGUGUAUACACACACAUGUUGGUGUGUGUCUGUGUGUGCGUGUGUGUGUUUGUGUGUGUGUUCGCGUGUGCGUGCAUUAGUAAUGUGGGAAAAUUCAACACAGAUACAUAUCGGGAUAUUAUUUUUGACUCGAUGGGGAGGAGGAUGGGGUGGUGAUGGGUCAUUGGAGCAGCACAAACUUCCAGUUUGGACUGUUUGUUAUGUAGAUGUACAAAGGAGUGAAGAUGGAUGCCGUUUAAAUACUAUGAGGGUGGUUGAUUCAUCAAGAGUGAGGCGGAUUUGUGGUUAAUGAAGAUUGGAUGCAGGUGAGCAAAUUAGAGAAUGACCGAUAAUCGGUUGGGCCAAUAUUUGUUACCGAUAUUAGCCUUUCCUUGACUAUCGAUGCAGCCGAUGUCCCCUACGUAGUAUGAGCACACUAGCCCCUUGUGUAAAAUGUUGCAAACUGGUGAGGAACAUCUGGCUGGACUGCAUCUUGUUAGCUAACCACUCAUGCUGGAUAUAUUUUAGCUUAAGGACACUUGAUUGAUGACACACGGCAUGUAUACAUUUUGAAAGUGUUCAAGGAACGGUUCGAGGAACAGAACCGAAAAGUAGAAUAUUUUUAAAGGACCAGUGAUCCAUACUGUUCUGGAAAAGAACCGUUAUUUUUAUGGGAACCGGUUAGUAAUGUUCCUUUAUGUAACAGACAUUUUUUUCUAGUCCCACAACAAAAUGCAGUAAAGCGCCUAUGCAAAGCCCUCACUGAAACUUAUUCCAGUGUCUGCCUGCAAGCUGGAAAUCUUUACCUGUGUGUGUUUAAGCACAGAGAAGAAUGGAUGAACCUUUUCAAUGCUAGUUAGGGCUACUAUAGGCCUAGUUAUCACGUAGGAUUUAUUAACUACAAAAAGGUAAGAUGUAUUUUACAUUUUGCUACCACUCUGCACACACACAAGCUGGUUAGCUAGCUGCUCAAAAGGACAUUCAAAGUUCGUCCAUAUUGGCCAAUCCUCCUAGGUAUAAUUCUGUGUAACUAAUUAAUAUAAUGCAUGUGAUAACUAGAUGCCCAGUGAUUCAAGCCUCCUCAACCCUCUCUCGCUCUCUCCACACUUGUACAAUUUCAGUUGCAUCUUGCGCCAUAGGCUACACUUGUUUGUCCAUCACACAUGUAAACAACUAGCUUGCCUGCUCUAUCCACACUGAUUGGUGAAGUAAUUCAAUUAGCUAAAAAUGUUUUACAAAAUAGUUGACUUCAUAGGUUAAAAAAUAGAAAAUAACAAUAUAAAGCUGUACUUUUUUGGGGUUCAAACCCGUUCAGAACUUUAUUUUGCUGGUCGGAACAGUGGAACGAAACAAAAAAGAUUGUGGUUCUGUUCAGAACUAAACUAUUGAAAAUGAUUUUGCUUCCAACCCCUGAUGUCCAUAUAUAGGCUACAGGACAUUACAAAACAACAUACUGGCCGCCAGCUAGCUAGAAAAUUUGAGGCUAAGGUCAGCUCAACUACUUUAUUUGUUAUAACACAUAGCAACACAUAGCAAGCCGAUUGUCUCCAAAAAUGUUCACUGGGUUAAAUGACUCGUAUUCUCUUAGUUGACAAAUUGUUGCAUGUAAGAGAGGAGGAGUGUCUUGAGAGUGACUGGUCUGAGACAGUCUUAAAGAGACAGCACACUUUAUGAAAAAGAGAUCAGGCUACUUCUAUGCAAAUGUUGUUGAGGCAAAUAUAAUAGUCUAAUAUAAGUCCCAAAAUGAAGGUAAACUGUGUGAUUGUUUGUCAUCUGUAGCACCAUAGAUUCCACUGAAAUCAGCCAAGACAAGCUCAAUAACUCAAUGCAUGCACACACUCCUAUUGAAUAUGCAUUCACCUGUAUUGUGAGUAGGUCUAUGGCAUCUUGAUUUCACCCAGCUCUCACAGCCUCACGUCACAAUGAGACGUCCAGCCAUGUUUCUCAAAAGUCACAUUUUAUAAGUUGUUCCAAACAAGUAUUUAAAGUUAAGUUUAGGCAUUAACUCCAAAUUCUUAAGGUUAGGAAUACACUCCGGAUGGUUAAGGUAAGGGUUAAGGAUUGGGAUAGGCUUCAAACGAAAAUAACUUGCAAUCUGCCAUCAUCGUCCGCAAUGCCCUAGCAAAACUGAAACCUACUUGAAGGUAACAGCGCUCACUGUUGCCCAGUGGCCAGUUUCCACGUCAUCUCCCGACAUCCUCAGACAUGGAUGGAUGUCGAAUACUGACUUGUGUCAGUUGUGUCCUGUGCACGUGGCGAAUACACUUAGAAACUUAUGUAGUUAGAUUGUCUCUGGGAAAUUUUGUCAUCACCAUUUUCAAAUGUAAUGAUAUUGAAUAACGGCAUAAAAUAUCAGCCUUAAAAAAAUAAAAAAACAUUUUUAAAGAAGUUCCUGCUGUGUCGUCUGAAGCUUAAAGCUCCCCUCCCCAAAACUGUGUUAUAAACUACACACAAGAGCGGCAAUACACAGGAAUAUCACCCUAUCACAGUAAAGCUGGACCAUGUGGAUGAUAUAAACAUGAGCUAGCAAACUCUGUAACGUGUCAAAUUUGGCCAAAGAAGAGAGAGACUCUAUUACUCUGACUCCAUGAGGGGUCUAUCCUGAUGUAUCAGUGGGUAGGUUGUUGCUCUGACUCCAUGAGGGGUCUAUCCUGAUGUAUCAGUGGGUAGGUUGUUGCUCUGACUCCAUGAGGGGUCUAUACUGAUGUAUCAGUGGGUAGGUUGUUGCUCUGACUCCAUGAGGGGUCUAUACUGAUGUAUCAGUGGGUAGGUUGUUGCUCUGACUCCAUGAGGGGUCUAUCCUGAUGUAUCAAUGGGUAGGUUGUUGCUCUGACUCCAUGAGGGGUCUAUCCUGAUGUAUCAGUGGGUAGGUUGUUGCUCUGACUCCAUGAGGGGUCUAUCCUGAUGUAUCAGUGGGUAGGUUGUUGCUCUGACUCCAUGAGGGGUCUAUCCUGAUGUAUCAGUGGGUAGGUUGUUGCUCUGACUCCAUGAGGGGUCUAUCCUGAUGUAUCAGUGGGUAGGUUGUUGCUCUGACUCCAUGAGGGGUCUAUCCUGAUGUAUCAGUGGGUAGGUUGUUGCUCUGACUCCAUGAGGGGUCUAUACUGAUGUAUCAGUGGGUAGGUUGUUGCUCUGACUCCAUGAGGGGUCUAUCCUGAUGUAUCAAUGGGUAGGUUGUUGCUCUGACUCCAUGAGGGGUCUAUACUGAUGUAUCAAUGGGUAGGUUGUUGCUCUGACUCCAUGAGGGGUCUAUUUAUUUAUUUUUUUAUUUCACCUUUAUUUAACCGGUUAGGCUAGUUGAGAAAAAGUUCGCAUUUACAACUGCGACCUGGCCAAGAUAAAGCAAAGCAGUGCGACAGAAACAACAACAGCCUUGUCUCAGGAUGGUAAGUUGGUAGUUGAAGAUAUCCCUCUAGUGGUGCGGGGGCUGUGCUUUGGCAAAGUUGGUGGGGUUAUAUCCUUCCUGUUUGGCCCUGUCUGGGGUUGUCCUCAGAUGGGGCCACAGUGUCUCCUGACCCCUCCUGUCUCAACCUCCAGUAUUUAUGCUGCAAUAGUUUGUGUCGGGGGGCUAGGGUCAGUUUGUUAUAUCUGGAGUACUUCUCCUGUCCUAUCCGGUGUCCUGUGUGAAUUUAAGUGUGCUCUCUCUAAUUCUCUCUUUCUUUCUCUCUCUCGGAGGACCUGAGCCCUAGGACCAUGCCUCAGGACUACCUGACAUGAUGACUCCUUGCUGUCCCCAGGCCACCUGGCCGUGCUGCUACUCCAGUUUCAACUGUUCUGCCUUAUUAUUAUUGGACCAUGCUGGUCAUUUAUGAACAUUUGAACAUCUUGGCCAGGUUCUGUUAUAAUCUCCACCCGGCACAGCUAGAAGAGGACUGGCCACCCCACAUAGCCUGGUUCCUCUCCUGGGUUUUGGCCUUUCUAGGGAGUUUUUCCUAGCCACUGUGCUUCUACACCUGCAUUGCUUGCUGUUUGGGGUUUUAGGCUGGGUUUCUGUACAGCACUUUGAGAUAUCAGCUGAUGUACGAAGGGGUAUAUAAAUACAUUUUAUUUUAUUUUAUUUGAACACAGAGUUACACAUGGAAUAAACAAGUGUACAGUCAAUAACACAAUACAAAAAAAGAACAUCUAUAUACAGUGUGUGCAAAUGGCAUGAGGAGGUAAGGCAAUAAAUAGAUCAUAGGAGCAAAGUAAUUACAAUUAAGCAGAUAGAUUAACACUGGAGUGAUAGAUGAGCAGAUGAUGAUGUGCAAGUAGAGAUACUGGUGUGCAAAAGAGCAGAAAAGUAAAUAAAAACAAUAUGGGGAUGAGGUAGGUAGAUUGGGUGGGCUAUUUACAUAUGGACUAUGUACAGCUGCAACAAUCGGUUAGCUGCUCAGAUAGCUGAUGUUUAAAGUUACUGAGGGGAAUAUAAGUCUCCAGCUUCAGAGAUUUAUGUAAUUCGUUCCAGUCACUGGCAGCAGAGAACUGGAAGGAAAGGUGGCCAAAGUAGGUGUUGGCUUUGGGGAUGACCAGUGAGAUAUCCUUGCUGGAGCGCGUGCUAUGGGUGGCUGUUUUUAUCGUGACCAGUGAGCUGAGAUAAGGCUGAGCUUUACUUAUCAUAGACUUAUAGAUGAUCUGGAGCCAGUGGGUCUGGCGACGAAUAUGUAGCGAUGCCAGCCGACUAGAGCAUACAGGUCGCAGUGGUGGGUGGUAUAAGGCGCUUUGGUAACAAAACGUAUGGCAUUGUGAUAGACAACAUCCAAUUUGCUGAGUAGAGUAUUGGAGCUAUUUUGUAGAUGGCGUCGCCGAAAUCGAGGAUCGGUAGGAUAGUCAGUUUUACUAGGGUUGGUUUGGCGGCGUGAGUGAAGGAGGCUUUGUUGCGAAAUAGAAAGCCGAUUCUAGAUUUGAUUUUGGAUUGGAUAUGUUUAAUAUGAAUCUGGAAGAAGAGUUUACAGUCUAGCCAGACACCUAGGUAUUUAUAGUUGUCCACAUAUUCCAGGUCAGAUCCGUCCAGAGUACUGAUGCUAGUUGGGCGGGCAGGUGUGGGCAGCGAAUGGUUGAAAAGCAUGCAUUUGGUUUUACUAGCGUUUAAGAACAGUUGGAGGCCACGGAAGGAGAGUUGUAUAGCAUUGAAGCUCAUCUGGAGGUUAGUUAACACAGUGUGCAAAGAAGGACCAGAUGUAUACAGAAUGGUGUCGUCUGCAUAGAGGUGGAUCAGGGAAUCACCCGCAGCAGGAGCAACAUCAGUGAUAUAUACAGAGAAAAGAGUCGGCCCGAGAAUUGAACCCUGAGAUCCCCAUAGAGACUGCCAGAGGUCCGGACAACAGGCCCUCCGAUUUGACACACUGAACUCUGUCUGCGAAGUAGUUGGUAAACCAGGCGAGGCAGUCAUUUGAGAAACCAAGGCUAUUGAGUCUGCCGAUAAGAUUGGCUGAGAGUGUUGACAACAUGUAAACUAUACAUCUUUAAAAAAAAAAAUAUAAAAAAAAAAGAUGAUAUCUAAUUGGUAGUUACAGUCUUGUCCCAUCACUGCAACUCCUCUAUGGACUCGGGAGAGGCAAAGGUCGACAGCCAUGUGUCCUACGAAACACAACCCUGUCAAGCCGCACUGCUUCUUGACACACUGCUCGCUUAACCCGGAAGCCAGCCGCACCAAUGUGUCGUAGGAAAUACUGUCCAGACAGUGACUGAAGUCAGCUUACAGGCGCCUGGCCCACCGCGAUGCAGUACCUUAGACUGCUGCGCCACUCAGGAGGCCCCCUGUAAACUAUAUUUUGUCUCCAAAUGUUUAUUGAAACCAUAAAUAAACAUGCACAAUGAGCAUUUGUUCUCUCUCAAAUACAUUGUUACAGUUGUUGAUUAGUGUUACGACUUCGGCCGAAGUCAAUGCCUCUCCUUGUUCGGGCGGCGUUCGGCGGUCGGCGUCGCCGGGCUUCUAGCCAUCAUCGAUUUACUUUUCAUUUUCCAUUUGUCUUGUCUUCCCACACACCUGGUUUCAGUUCCAUCAUUACAUGUUGUGUAUUUAACCAUCUGUUCCCCCCCAAGUCCUUGUCCGGAAUUGUUUAUUGUAAGUGCAUGUGCACGUAUGCUGGUGUGUGACAGGUUUUGUUACCCAUUGUUCAGUGUAAGUGCAUGUGCACGUAUGCUGGUGUGUGACAGGUUUUGUUACCCAUUUGUUACCCAUUGUUUAUUGUAAGUGCAUGUGCACGUAUGCUGGUGUGUGACAGGUUUUGUUACCCAUUGUUUAUUGUAAGUGCAUGUGCACGUAUGCUGGUGUGUGACAGGUUUUGUUACCCAUUGUUUAUUGUAAGUGCAUGUGCACGUAUGCUGGUGUGUGACAGGUUUUGUUACCCAUUGUUUAUUGUAAGUGCAUGUGCACGUAUGCUGGUGUGUGACAGGUUUUGUUACCCAUUGUUUAUUGUAAGUGCAUGUGCACGUAUGCUGGUGUGUGACAGGUUUUGUUACCCAUUGUUUAUUGUAAGUGCAUGUGCACGUAUGCUGGUGUGUGACAGGUUUUGUUACCCAUUGUUUAUUGUAAGUGCAUGUGCACGUAUGCUGGUGUGUGACAGGUUUUGUUACCCAUUGUUUAUUGUAAGUGCAUGUGCACGUAUGCUGGUGUGUGACAGGUUUUGUUACCCAUUGUUUAUUGUAAGUGCAUGUGCACGUAUGCUGGUGUGUGACAGGUUUUGUUACCCAUUGUUUAUUGUAAGUGCAUGUGCACGUAUGCUGGUGUGUGACAGGUUUUGUUACCCAUUGUUUAUUGUAAGUGCAUGUGCACGUAUGCUGGUGUGUGACAGGUUUUGUUACCCAUUGUUUAUUUGUUCUAUUUUAC